RNAcentral lists this ribosomal RNA (450 nucleotides) under uncultured bacterium. RNAcentral's name for it is "partial 16S ribosomal RNA". It matches the Rfam family "Bacterial small subunit ribosomal RNA", at positions 354 to 796 of the family's 1533-position model. The record is from RNAcentral.
GUGGGGAAUUUUGGACAAUGGGCGAAAGCCUGAUCCAGCCAUGCCGCGUGCAGGAUGAAGGCCUUCGGGUUGUAAACUGCUUUUGUACGGAACGAAAAGACUCUGGUUAAUACCUGGGGUCCAUGACGGUACCCACAGAAGAAGCACCGGCUAACUACGUGCCAGCAGCCGCGGUAAUACGUAGGGUGCAAGCGUUAAUCGGAAUUACUGGGCGUAAAGCGUGCGCAGGCGGUUUUGUAAGACAGUGGUGAAAUCCCCGGGCUCAACCUGGGAACUGCCAUUGUGACUGCAAGGCUAGAGUGCGGCAGAGGGGGAUGGAAUUCCGCGUGUAGCAGUGAAAUGCGUAGAUAUGCGGAGGAACACCGAUGGCGAAGGCAAUCCCCUGGGCCUGCACUGACGCUCAUGCACGAAAGCGUGGGGAGCAAACAGGAUUAGAUACCCGGGUAGUCC